GCAUUGAAACACCGGUUCCUGUACGAUCACCGAAGUUAAGUAACAUCGAGUCUGAUUAGUACCUGGAUGGGUGACCGCUUAAAAAUACCAAGUACU
Non-coding RNA from Acanthosepion pharaonis, 96 nucleotides. NCBI's taxonomy places the organism in Eukaryota, Metazoa, Mollusca, Cephalopoda, Sepiida, Sepiidae. The record is from the annotation of a GenBank genome assembly.